Molecule: long non-coding RNA, 682 nt
Organism: Hypanus sabinus (Atlantic stingray)
Lineage: Eukaryota; Metazoa; Chordata; Chondrichthyes; Myliobatiformes; Dasyatidae
Exons: 3
Source: RefSeq, a predicted model, not a curated record
UUAAACAAACAUUGGCAAGAGAGGGAAGUGCUCUGCUGAAGUGCACGUGUUUACUGGCAGUGUGAUUCCAACAGAUUUAAUCUCUAUGAUCUGGGAGGCAAUGAAAAAGAAGUCACCAUAGCUGCUUUUGGGUGAGGUGUUCCAGAGCCGAUUGAAGAGCCAAUGAAAUGGCAUCUACUGUUGACCUGUUGUGAAGGCAGGUAUAUUGGAGCAGAUCCAGGUCACUCCUCAGGCAGGAGUCAAUGUGCUGUUUUACCCUUUGAGACCCAGCAGACAGUUACCCAAUAUACUUAGAAACCUAGAAACAAAGAAAAUCAGAGUUCUUUUGAAGACACUGACCUGGAGUUACACGCUGACUUCAGUUCUUUGUGGGAAUGGGACCGGCUCUCGGGGUCUCACGGCUGGCCACUAUUCGAAAUAGCAAGGAUGCGGCCAUGAAGAUUAGCUUGCCUUUGGAGUUUUGGGAUUUUGUGGCUGUGGAGGCGGGCGGACUUGAUGUCGCUGCCUUGGCAGGAAAUUGAUGUGUCGUGGGAGACGGAAGAUCAAAAGCAGCAAGCUGGCUUCUGGCUGUGUGCACAGAGACCCGAGUUCUUUGGGCGCAGAGCUCAGGAAAAGCAACACAACGGACUUUUAACAUCACAAAUCAGCAAGUUGUUUGUUAUGUCUCCCCUCUCACUGCAAA